ACGCAUGGUCCCAGCGCGCGUGCGCCCCUGAAGGCGGGUUCCGGUGGCAGCGCCGGGGUCUCAGACCCUGAGGAGACUGAGCCCAGCGCCAGGCGACCGGUCCCCGCCGCCGCCGCCCCUGCGCGGGAGAUCCCCCCUGCUUAGUCCGCGCCCGAGCCCCCGUCCGUGGGAACAGACAAGGGGCCUCCGCAGCGCCUCACAACCCCCGACCAGGUCCAGCGGCGGGGGACUCGGCCGUGGAGGGCGCUGUUCGGUCUGGAUGGCUCCCCCCAUCAGCGGGAGGCUACACCCCCCACCAGCAGGGGCAAGAGGAGCAGCGGGAUGGGAGCAGGCCAACGUCCUGCGGCCUGGUUGAGCUCGCACUGACAAUCGCAGGCCCAGUAACCCGCAGGUCACCGCGCUCCCCACCUGCGUUGCUGACGGUGACAUCGUCAGGGGAGGGGGGCGCGCCUUCCCAGAGGCUCAGGUCGCGAGGGUAGCCGGGGUCCGGGCGCGCCGCCGCCUCGUCGUAGCGCCAGUACUGCCGGCCGCGGACCAGCUCAGGCGCUCAGGACUGCCAGGACCCAGAGGAUUCACACGCCAGCCCCGGCUGAAGCCCAGCUCCUCAUCAACCGGUGAGCCGCCUGCCAGCUCCUGCUCCAGCUGCUGAGAGGCCUGAAGAGACCAAGACAGAGACACAGCCCCGCAGCACCACAGGGAGGCCCCAGUUACCCCAUGCGGAUGAGUUUCAUGGCCAUCUCUAACUAAGGACAGGACAUCGAUGUCAUCUGUAACUUCCGGUGCACUGGGGCACACAGCUGCAUCUCCCCAUGCUCACCUCCUGCCUCUUGCUCUGCCCAGUAAGCUCGCCAACCCCCGUGGACUGCUGGCUCUCAAGGCGGCCGCUAGCCCAGCUCCGACAGCAGCUGACAAUGCACAGUAUGCGGCCCAGGGCAGGCCCUGUGCUGAGAGGCAUGGGUGAAUGGCUCAUUUCAUCGGCAAGCCCACGCCACCAGCAGGCGCCGUUCUCCUCGCAUUUCUCAGGCGAGGAACCUGAGACAAUGAGGUUAAGGAAGUUGUUCAUUACAAGUGGAAGAACCCUGACUUACUUGAAUUCAGCUUUGAAGCCCACAUUCUCUUUUUCUGUGUGUGUGACAGGGUCUCACUUUGUCACCCAGGCCGCAGUGCAGUGGUGUGAACACAGCUCAUUGCAGUCUCAACCUCCCUGACUCAAGCAAUCCUCCUGCCUUAGCCUCCUGAGUAGCUGGGACUACAAGCAUGUGCCACCACGCCCAGCCGAAGCCCAUAUGUGAAUGUUGAGGCACACAGCCUCCCCAGCCUCUGCCUUACCAAGCCCUCCACAGGGCCUAGGCACCCUCCCUGGCUGCCCCCUUCCCCCGUCACUCAGGCUCCCCAGCAGCCAAUGUAGUUAAUAUGGGGCUGCAAAGAGCUGGGCCUGGCCUCAGGCGGGACCGCCUCCCCGGCAUUGCCAUCCCUGCUGCAGAGCUCCCAUGCGAUCAGCCUCCUCUCCAGCUGAGACCACAUCCUCACUCAGCUUCUAGGCUGUUCCUGCUCCCCAUUCCCCUCAGCACAUGGCCCCUGAGAAACUGCUUGCACAAGAAUUUCCCUCUGGAGCCCCACCUCUGGGGAACCUGACCUCAGACAGAGGAGACCAAGCUCUAGGGCAGGAUCCUCCACCUCCCUUGCCCCACCGGUGUGGCCAGCCCAGAGCGCUGCAGACUCCCGCCCAGACCUGCACUUGUGCCUGCCUUCUGCCAGCCUGCUCCUCCUCCUCCCACUCUCACACCUGCAUUAACAGCACCAGGACGCCAUCCUCCAAGGGCCCCAGCCUCAUCUCCCCUGUCACCAGGAUCCAGCCAGAUCUCAAUCCUUGCCCAUCCUAACUGAACCUCCCUCAGAUCCGUCCACUGCCCCCUUCCCCAGGACCACACUCCACCAUCUCUUGCCUGGACCCUGCGAGAACUUCCUGCCUCCCUGCCUCUAUCCUACCCCCUGCCCCCCGCUGAAGCUGAUGAUAGUUCCGGAAUGCAAAACCCCUUAAUGAUUCCCCCAUUGAUCAAAGUCUUCCACAUGCUUUCAAGGUCCUUGGUGAUCCAGGACCUGCCGCCUUCUGCAGUCUCCCUACUGAUGCCAUAGUUUUGGCUUCUGGCCUCAUAUGUCCCGGGUCAUUUCUCUGGUCACUGGCUCCUCUUACCCCUGACUCAGCUGGCUCACUGCUUUCCCAUUGGAUCUCAACCCUGUGUACCUGGGGAGAGCGGAACUCUGUAUGUCUUGUCUUGUGCUAGUAGUCACUCAGUGUGUAUGUGUGGAUAUUCAUAUAUAUAUAUAUAUAUAUUUGAAAAAAAAAAA
This 2349-nucleotide long non-coding RNA is filed under the name Homo sapiens (human). RNAcentral's name for it is "MMP25 antisense RNA 1 (MMP25-AS1)". The record is from RNAcentral. Lineage: Eukaryota; Metazoa; Chordata; Mammalia; Primates; Hominidae.